RNAcentral lists this ribosomal RNA (357 nucleotides) under Triticum aestivum (bread wheat). RNAcentral's name for it is "partial small subunit ribosomal RNA". The record is from RNAcentral. Lineage: Eukaryota; Viridiplantae; Streptophyta; Magnoliopsida; Poales; Poaceae.
AUGCACUCGCUGGGUAUUGUUCCGGAGACACGCUGGGACGGCGACGGGACGCGGAUUCAGAACAUACACCGAUGGAGAAUGGUGUUCGAUGGGGGUCUCUCUCGGUCAUGUUGUAGGAUUCUUGGCCACAGCACAACUGGGGCAGACAUGUUGGGUUUACUGCUGCAGCACUACCUGGAGCUCUCUAUGCGUGCUCGAGUCGGCACGCUCUCUCUCUCGACAGUGAUAUGCUCUCUCCACUCCAUGGAAUCUCACUCUUUGAACUUUCUCUCCUCGCAGAGUGGAUUUUGUGGGCCUGGUGUACCACAGUCCAUAGUGUAUUGCCUACGGUCCGGUAAUAGUUGUCGUUUUCGAUAA